AGCAGUAGCCGCGGGAAUACGUAGGGUGCGAGCGUUAAUCGGAAUUACUGGGCGUAAAGCGUGCGCAGGCGGUUCGUUAAGACAGAUGUGAAAUCCCCGGGCUUAACCUGGGAACUGCAUUUGUGACUGACGGGCUAGAGUAUGGCAGAGGGGGGUAGAAUUCCACGUGUAGCAGUGAAAUGCGUAGAGAUGUGGAGGAAUACCGAUGGCGAAGGCAGCCCCCUGGGCCAAUACUGACGCUCAUGCACGAAAGCGUGGGGAGCAAACAGGAUUAGAUACCCCAGUAGUCCCUGUCUCUUAUAA
This 303-nucleotide ribosomal RNA is filed under the name uncultured bacterium. RNAcentral describes it as "partial 16S ribosomal RNA". It matches the Rfam family "Bacterial small subunit ribosomal RNA", at positions 507 to 809 of the family's 1533-position model. The record is from RNAcentral.